UUAAGCGACUAAGCGUACACGGUGGAUGCCCUGGCAGUCAGAGGCGAUGAAGGACGUGCUAAUCUGCGAUAAGCGUCGGUAAGGUGAUAUGAACCGUUAUAACCGGCGAUUUCCGAAUGGGGAAACCCAGUGUGAUUCGUCACACUAUCAUUAACUGAAUCCAUAGGUUAAUGAGGCGAACCGGGGGAACUGAAACAUCUAAGUACCCCGAGGAAAAGAAAUCAACCGAGAUUCCCCCAGUAGCGGCGAGCGAACGGGGAGCAGCCCAGAGCCUGAAUCAGUGUGUGUGUUAGUGGAAGCGUCUGGAAAGGCGCGCGAUACAGGGUGACAGCCCCGUACACAAAAAUGCACAUACUGUGAGCUCGAUGAGUAGGGCGGGACACGUGGUAUCCUGUCUGAAUAUGGGGGGACCAUCCUCCAAGGCUAAAUACUCCUGACUGACCGAUAGUGAACCAGUACCGUGAGGGAAAGGCGAAAAGAACCCCGGCGAGGGGAGUGAAAAAGAACCUGAAACCGUGUACGUACAAGCAGUGGGAGCACAGAGCAAUCUGUGUGACUGCGUACCUUUUGUAUAAUGGGUCAGCGACUUAUAUUCUGUAGCAAGGUUAACCGAAUAGGGGAGCCGAAGGGAAACCGAGUCUUAACUGGGCGUUAAGUUGCAGGGUAUAGACCCGAAACCCGGUGAUCUAGCCAUGGGCAGGUUGAAGGUUGGGUAACACUAACUGGAGGACCGAACCGACUAAUGUUGAAAAAUUAGCGGAUGACUUGUGGCUGGGGGUGAAAGGCCAAUCAAACCGGGAGAUAGCUGGUUCUCCCCGAAAGCUAUUUAGGUAGCGCCUCGUGAAUUCAUCUCCGGGGUAGAGCACUGUUUCGGCAAGGGGGUCAUCCCGACUUACCAACCCGAUGCAAACUGCGAAUACCGGAGAAUGUUAUCACGGGAGACACACGGCGGGUGCUAACGUCCGUCGUGAAGAGGGAAACAACCCAGACCGCCAGCUAAGGUCCCAAAGUCAUGGUUAAGUGGGAAACGAUGUGGGAAGGCCCAGACAGCCAGGAUGUUGGCUUAGAAGCAGCCAUCAUUUAAAGAAAGCGUAAUAGCUCACUGGUCGAGUCGGCCUGCGCGGAAGAUGUAACGGGGCUAAACCAUGCACCGAAGCUGCGGCAGCGACGCUUAUGCGUUGUUGGGUAGGGGAGCGUUCUGUAAGCCUGCGAAGGUGUGCUGUGAGGCAUGCUGGAGGUAUCAGAAGUGCGAAUGCUGACAUAAGUAACGAUAAAGCGGGUGAAAAGCCCGCUCGCCGGAAGACCAAGGGUUCCUGUCCAACGUUAAUCGGGGCAGGGUGAGUCGACCCCUAAGGCGAGGCCGAAAGGCGUAGUCGAUGGGAAACAGGUUAAUAUUCCUGUACUUGGUGUUACUGCGAAGGGGGGACGGAGAAGGCUAUGUUGGCCGGGCGACGGUUGUCCCGGUUUAAGCGUGUAGGCUGGUUUUCCAGGCAAAUCCGGAAAAUCAAGGCUGAGGCGUGAUGACGAGGCACUACGGUGCUGAAGCAACAAAUGCCCUGCUUCCAGGAAAAGCCUCUAAGCAUCAGGUAACAUCAAAUCGUACCCCAAACCGACACAGGUGGUCAGGUAGAGAAUACCAAGGCGCUUGAGAGAACUCGGGUGAAGGAACUAGGCAAAAUGGUGCCGUAACUUCGGGAGAAGGCACGCUGAUAUGUAGGUGAAGUCCCUCGCGGAUGGAGCUGAAAUCAGUCGAAGAUACCAGCUGGCUGCAACUGUUUAUUAAAAACACAGCACUGUGCAAACACGAAAGUGGACGUAUACGGUGUGACGCCUGCCCGGUGCCGGAAGGUUAAUUGAUGGGGUCAGCGCAAGCGAAGCUCUUGAUCGAAGCCCCGGUAAACGGCGGCCGUAACUAUAACGGUCCUAAGGUAGCGAAAUUCCUUGUCGGGUAAGUUCCGACCUGCACGAAUGGCGUAAUGAUGGCCAGGCUGUCUCCACCCGAGACUCAGUGAAAUUGAACUCGCUGUGAAGAUGCAGUGUACCCGCGGCAAGACGGAAAGACCCCGUGAACCUUUACUAUAGCUUGACACUGAACAUUGAGCCUUGAUGUGUAGGAUAGGUGGGAGGCUUUGAAGUGUGGACGCCAGUCUGCAUGGAGCCGACCUUGAAAUACCACCCUUUAAUGUUUGAUGUUCUAACGUGGACCCGUGAUCCGGGUUGCGGACAGUGUCUGGUGGGUAGUUUGACUGGGGCGGUCUCCUCCUAAAGAGUAACGGAGGAGCACGAAGGUUGGCUAAUCCUGGUCGGACAUCAGGAGGUUAGUGCAAUGGCAUAAGCCAGCUUGACUGCGAGCGUGACGGCGCGAGCAGGUGCGAAAGCAGGUCAUAGUGAUCCGGUGGUUCUGAAUGGAAGGGCCAUCGCUCAACGGAUAAAAGGUACUCCGGGGAUAACAGGCUGAUACCGCCCAAGAGUUCAUAUCGACGGCGGUGUUUGGCACCUCGAUGUCGGCUCAUCACAUCCUGGGGCUGAAGUAGGUCCCAAGGGUAUGGCUGUUCGCCAUUUAAAGUGGUACGCGAGCUGGGUUUAGAACGUCGUGAGACAGUUCGGUCCCUAUCUGCCGUGGGCGCUGGAGAAUUGAGGGGGGCUGCUCCUAGUACGAGAGGACCGGAGUGGACGCAUCACUGGUGUUCGGGUUGUCAUGCCAAUGGCACUGCCCGGUAGCUAAAUGCGGAAGAGAUAAGUGCUGAAAGCAUCUAAGCACGAAACUUGCCCCGAGAUGAGUUCUCCCUGACUCCUUGAGAGUCCUGAAGGAACGUUGAAGACGACGACGUUGAUAGGCCGGGUGUGUAAGCGCAGCGAUGCGUUGAGCUAACCGGUACUAAUGAACCGUGAGGCUUAACCUU
Molecule: ribosomal RNA, 2903 nt
Filed under: Escherichia coli
Lineage: Bacteria; Pseudomonadati; Pseudomonadota; Gammaproteobacteria; Enterobacterales; Enterobacteriaceae
Description: 23S ribosomal RNA
Rfam family: Bacterial large subunit ribosomal RNA
Source: RNAcentral